RNAcentral lists this ribosomal RNA (480 nucleotides) under uncultured bacterium. RNAcentral describes it as "partial 16S ribosomal RNA". It matches the Rfam family "Bacterial small subunit ribosomal RNA", at positions 28 to 507 of the family's 1533-position model. The record is from RNAcentral.
GAUGAACGCUGGCGGCGUGCUUAACACAUGCAAGUCGAACGAAGCACUUUAUUUGAUUUCCUUCGGGACUGAUUAUUUUGUGACUGAGUGGCGGACGGGUGAGUAACGCGUGGGUACCUGCCUUGUACAGGGGGAUAACAGUUGGAAACGGCUGCUAAUACCGCAUAAGCGCACAGCAUCGCAUGAUGCAGUGUGAAAAACUCCGGUGGUAUAAGAUGGACCCGCGUUGGAUUAGCUAGUUGGUGAGGUAACGGCCCACCAAGGCGACGAUCCAUAGCCGACAUGGGAGAGUGGCCGGCGACAUUGGGACUGAGACACGGACCAGACUCCUACGGGAGGCAGCAGUGGGGAAUAUUGCACAGUGGGCGAAAGCCUGAUGCAGCGACGCCGCGUGAGCGAAGAAGUAUUUGGGUAUGUAAAGCUCUAUCAGCAAGGAAGGUAAUGACGGUACCUGACUAAGAAGCACCGGCUAAAUACGUG